CCUACGGGUGGCUGCAGUCGAGAAUUUUUCUCAAUGGGGGAAACCCUGAAGGAGCGACGCCGCGUGGAGGAUGAAGGUCUUCGGGUUGUAAACUCCUGUCAUUUGGGAACAAGUGUCGGUACCUAACUGCUACCGGCUUUAUAGUACCAGAAGAGGAAGAGACGGCUAACUCUGUGCCAGCAGCCGCGGUAAUACAGAGGUCUCAAGCGUUGUUCGGAUUCAUUGGGCGUAAAGGGUGUGUAGGUGGCGCGCUAAGUCGGGUGUGAAAUUUCGGAGCUUAACUCCGAAACUGCAUUCGAUACUGGCGUGCUUGAGGACUGGAGAGGAGACUGGAAUUCAUGGUGUAGCAGUGAAAUGCGUAGAGAUCAUGAGGAAGACCAGUGGCGAAGGCGGGUCUCUGGACAGUUCCUGACACUGAGACACGAAGGCCAGGGGAGCAA
Molecule: ribosomal RNA, 440 nt
Filed under: uncultured bacterium
Lineage: Bacteria
Description: bacterial SSU rRNA
Rfam family: Bacterial small subunit ribosomal RNA
Source: RNAcentral